RNAcentral lists this ribosomal RNA (326 nucleotides) under uncultured Actinomycetes bacterium. Its description in RNAcentral is "bacterial SSU rRNA". It matches the Rfam family "Bacterial small subunit ribosomal RNA", at positions 28 to 351 of the family's 1533-position model. Lineage: Bacteria; Bacillati; Actinomycetota; Actinomycetes. The record is from RNAcentral.
GACGAACGCUGGCGGCGUGCUUAACACAUGCAAGUCGAACGAUGAAAGCGGGAGCUUGCUCCUGCUGGAUUAGUGGCGAACGGGUGAGUAACACGUGAGCAAUCUGCCCUUGACUCUGGGAUAACGCCGAGAAAUUGGUGCUAAUACCGGAUAUGACCCCUGGCGGCAUCGCUGGGGGUGGAAAGUUUUUCGGUCAAGGAUGAGCUCGCGGCCUAUCAGCUAGUUGGUGAGGUAAUGGCUCACCAAGGCGACGACGGGUAGCCGGCCUGAGAGGGUGACCGGCCACACUGGGACUGAGACACGGCCCAGACUCCUACGGGAGGCUG